RNAcentral lists this ribosomal RNA (472 nucleotides) under uncultured bacterium. RNAcentral's name for it is "SSU rRNA". It matches the Rfam family "Bacterial small subunit ribosomal RNA", at positions 26 to 518 of the family's 1533-position model. The record is from RNAcentral.
AGGACGAACGCUGGCGGCGUGCUUAACACAUGCAAGUCGAGCGGAAAGGCCCUUCGGGGUACUCGAGCGGCGAACGGGUGAGUAACACGUGAGCAACCUGCCCUUAGCUUCGGGAUAGCUCCGGGAAACCGGAAUUAAUACCGGAUAUGACUAUGGCCGACAUCAGCCAUGGUGGAAAGUUUUUCGGCUAGGGAUGGACUCGCGGCCUAUCAGCUAGUUGGUGAGGUAACGGCUCACCAAGGCGACGACGGGUAGCCGGCCUGAGAGGGCGACCGGCCACACUGGGACUGAGACACGGCCCAGACUCCUACGGGAGGCAGCAGUGGGGAAUAUUGCGCAAUGGGCGAAAGCCUGACGCAGCGAUGCCGCGUGGGGAUGAAUGCCUUCGGGUUGUAAACCCUUUCAGCAGGGACGAAGCGAAAGUGACGGUACCUGCAGAAGAAGCGCCGGCUAACUACGUGCCAGCAGCCGC